GAAAAUCCCUGAACUGAGAGGUUCUGAGACCGUCCAGGCGUGUGAACACACCCCUCCACAGGGAGAGGGUGGCACGCCAGAGCUCCUGGGUUUGGGAACCUUCUAGAUGUCAUCCUACAUUCUUCUUCAUCUGCGUGCUCAGCUGUAUCCUUUAUCAUAGCGGUUUUCAUAUAACAAAUAGAACAAUCUGAUCCUUUGGCCACCAAUUUGGAUUAAAACCGUAACCCCUGCCCUGACGGUUGGAAUAAAUCUUGUGAGGAAAAAGGCAAAACUCCCAGAGCAAAAUUUGGGAAGGUAUUUUGGAUAGUUUCUCCUUUUGUUUUUGGACAUCAUCGCAUUGGUUAAAGGAGUCUUCGGAGAAGGCAAGGGGAGCCCGGAAAGGCUCUCUUCUCACCUUGAGGCACAAAUGUGAUGGCCAGAAUGGAGAUUCCAAGAAGAAACAUGAAAAGCGUUUGGCUUAUUUGACGACCCAGGUGAUUCAGCGCCAAAAAUGCAACAUAAUUGGCUGGGAGGUUGACGACGCCAAAAAGAACUUGGAACAGGAAAACAUUGCUCCCCAUGUACUGGAGGUGGAGAAUCAGGCCAAAAAAGGACAUGAAGUUUGCAAAUCUGUGGUGAACAAAGAUGAAAGACACUUAUUGUAAGGUUUAGAGCCUAUGCGUUACAAAUGAUGAUAGUAAAUACUAACCAGACAGCUAGUGAUUUGUUUUAAAGUAUAAAAACAUGGUAUGUUUCAUGGACUAUUUCCUGUAAUGAUUUUAUAACUAUAAAAUAAUUGUAUAAUUGGAGCUCCUGAUUGUUAAGUUCUGGGGAAGGGCUUGCGGUGUUUUUGUGAAGGAUGCAUGAUGGAGUUUUCUAGGGUUUUAGAGUUUUCUCUGUAUCUUCAUCUGGGUGACGGUUGCAUAUGGAAAUAAACGUGGAGCUGUAUAUUUUUGUGCGCUUUACUGUUUGUAAUUUUACCUCAUUUAAAGUGGAAAAAAGCGAAGAAAGUUGAAGUCAA
Molecule: long non-coding RNA, 1000 nt
Organism: Sus scrofa (pig)
Lineage: Eukaryota; Metazoa; Chordata; Mammalia; Artiodactyla; Suidae
Source: RefSeq, a predicted model, not a curated record